Molecule: ribosomal RNA, 484 nt
Filed under: uncultured bacterium
Lineage: Bacteria
Description: partial 16S ribosomal RNA
Rfam family: Bacterial small subunit ribosomal RNA
Source: RNAcentral
AUUGAACGCUGGCGGCAGGCCUAACACAUGCAAGUCGAGCGGAUGAAGGGAGCUUGCUCCUGGAUUCAGCGGCGGACGGGUGAGUAAUUCCUAGGAAUCUGCCUGGUCGUGGGGGAUAACGUCCGGAAACGGGCGCUAAUACCGCAUACGUCCUGAGGGAGAAAGUGGGGGAUCUUCGGACCUCACGCUAUCAGAUGAGCCUAGGUCGGAUUAGCUAGUUGGUGGGGUAAAGGCCUACCAAGGCGACGAUCCGUAACUGGUCUGAGAGGAUGAUCAGUCACACUGGAACUGAGACACGGUCCAGACUCCUACGGGAGGCAGCAGUGGGGAAUAUUGGACAAUGGGCGAAAGCCUGAUCCAGCCAUGCCGCGUGUGUGAAGAAGGUCUUCGGAUUGUAAAGCACUUUAAGUUGGGAGGAAGGGCAGUAAGUUAAUACCUUGCUGUUUUGACGUUACCAACAGAAUAAGCACCGGCUAACUUCGUG